AAUGCAAGAUCUUCGCGUGAGAUCGCACCCCUCCCACCACGCCCUAACGAAAACACCACCGCCCCACCCUAUUCAAUAGUGACCACCUCUCCAACGAGAUCCACGCAGCCGCCUCCGCGAUCCUCCGAUACUUCCCCGCCCUCUUCAGAAGCCGCGCCAUGGAUCGGCAUGGAUCCUCGUUAGAUGAGAUCCUGCCAUACCGAUGCUUGUCCAAUGACCUCAUCUAACAAGGUGUCUCAUGAGAAACGACGUCCCGGCGCCCUCCUUCUCCCUCCAGCCAUCUCCUCCACGGCAAGCGACGCCGGCUGCCUCAUCACGUCCCUGGCACGAGCAGUGAAGCUAGCCGCAAGGUCAGGAUCGUCUUCGAGGCUAGGGAGCCUAGCCUCGCCUCGCCUCACAACCUCCUUCCUCUUUUCAUCCUAACCAUCCCCUCUCGAUCCCAAUUGUUGUGGAGCAGCCCGGUGGAUUUGGAGUCAACUAAGGUCCAGCAGGUGAACAACGUUUGGAGAAAUUCAGACUGGCAGUGUGUCAUGCAAGGUGAUUUUGAAUGAAGUUGUGAAGAAUUUGGAAGGGCGCCUACUAUAUAUCAGACCAAACACAGGAAUAGCGGUCAUUAUUGCUAUCUGAAUGCAUUCAUCCCUGGUACGGUGGUGCUGGACAACCUGAAACAGGGGAGCUACAGCGAUGGCCCUUUUAGUUCUGCUAAUAAGACAAUGAGGAGGCAGCGGAGAGGUUGAUUGGUUCUCUCUGUAGAAAGCAUAUUUUCAAAGUUAAUGAUUUGAACUGGAUGGAUUGGAAGCUGUUGUGUUCGUGAAAGGUAUAAUUGUUGAAGUGAACUAUGUCAUGUGAAGCAGGAUAAUGGAACUCUUGGAGAAAAGAUUCAGCUGCUAGAGGGCGUAGCACCCUGGAUGAUAAUUGACUCUGUAUGAUCUGACCUCUGUUGCUUGGCCUUCUGCUUUUCAUGCAUAUAGCUCAGAAGGCGCUGAUACAUGUGUGCGCAGAGCAAAAUGCAACAUGCUGCUGUUUAAAGGGAUCGAUAUGUUUGAUCAGGCUGUUUGUAGGAAUCAUUGUUAGCACGAAGCUGAAAUACUCGAAUGGCUGUAAGGCUCCAUAGCAAGAGAAGGUUGAGGUUAUGUCUGUAUGUAUAUGUUAUGUUCUGUGAAUGUGUAUAAUCUGCAAGUGCCUCUUUGCACGGUCUAGCAUCUAGAGCAGUAAAUGGUUUCGGCAAGGAUACUUGAUCAAGCAAGUUAUGUGGGUUUAGCUGCUCAAAGUUGCUGCUUAUGUACGCACAGGUUGGUUAUGAGCCAAACAUGCCCCUGAACUGAUCUUGGAGGUUGGAGUUUUUGUUGGUGAUUUUGACACUGCUACAUCUCGCACAAAAGAUGUAUUAAAACAGUUCGUUAUCAUACAAUCUUGAAACAUAGUGAUCCUCCCUCCCACUGAUCUUCAAGGAUCUCUAUGUUGUCCAGAA
Molecule: long non-coding RNA, 1471 nt
Organism: Triticum aestivum (bread wheat)
Lineage: Eukaryota; Viridiplantae; Streptophyta; Magnoliopsida; Poales; Poaceae
Exons: 4
Source: RefSeq, a predicted model, not a curated record